UUUGAAAACAAUAAUGAAUGAUGGUUUUUGUUUGACAACUUAACUUUCUUACUACUCCAGCUAGUAAGCAAUGCAAAACCUUCUACUUUUCCACAUAAAGAGCUAAAUGCAAGAUAUUGUUUUCACCAUCUUAUCGUGUGAAAUCAUUUAAGUGUAAUUGUUCCACAGUGAUGGCCGACGAAGAACGAAUUAAGGAAUGGGCAGAAUGGUUGAAAGUUAAGUCUGUGUUUGUAGAUCUGGAAUGGCUGGAAGCUUGUGUUAGAUGGAUAUUGUCGCGUGAGUCUAUAAACUCCGAAAUGGAACUAAAAAAUGCCAUUUAUGAACAAUGGUUAAUGUCUGAUUUAAUGGAAAGUGGGAGCAGUACUUUACCACAGUCUGUGGCAAGUAUUCCUAAGAUGCUGACAAGGUCAACAAUUGUACUUCAGGUGAAUUCAAUUGUAAAUAUUGCUGAAUCAGCAUAUAGUCAAUUAAAGAAACUAAAAAAUGAAGACAAUGAUCUUGAUGACAAUGUUAACAAGAAUAAGACACAAGUGUCGCCAUCCAGUCGUAUGUUAAAGUUAGAUUUAACGGAUGGUCAUCAGUUUAUUGAGGGUAUGGAAGUUUCACCUAUAAAGAAGUUAAGUUCUGAUACUUUACCAGGAACCAAGAUCUUGAUUAAACCUAAUACUCUAUGUCGAUCUGGCAUGUUGUUUUUGACUGGGAAUAACAUUGAGAUAUUGGGAGGUCAUGUUCCAUGGUUUUUGGAAGAAAAAUCUAGAAUGAAUAUGCUUAACAAACUUGUUAUGAAAACCAAGAACUCUACUACUAACGAUGAUGAAUUAUCUGGUGAACAACAUGAAAGCAAUUUCCAAGUGGAAACAUCCAACAACAGUUCUGGUGAUAAUUUUGAGGUUGACAAAUGGCUGGAUGAUAACGAAGAUGAAAAUCUGUUGGUGAAUCUUGAAGAUGACUUUGAAAAUCAAUCUGUUCCAACGGUUGUAAUACUAGAUGACGACAUUCCACAUGAUGUAGUCAUAGAAAAGGAGUUUGAAAUUGAUGAUGAUAUUCCUAACGAUGUUCUAAAUGACCUGGAUGGUUAUGAAUGUUAGUUUGAUGAUCUGGUAACAAUGGAGAUCAUUUGAAGAGAAGUGGAAUCAUGGACAGCGUUUUAGGUAAAGUUGGGCGGUAUUGAAAUGUUGGGAACAUUUACAGCACCUUAACAUACCACAGUAUACCAAUAUAUAACGUUUAGAUCUUGUAUGGAAAUGUGUGAUCUACUGAAACUGCUGUUUUUACUCAAUAAUCCAAGGCAAAUUCAAUAUUAUUUUAUUAACGAUCAUUAUUUCCGUAAGAUUCAAAUUAUGUCAUGUUUUACAGAGACAGUAACGUUUCCAACUAGCAACAGCUACGUAUUAAUCAUACAACUAGCUACUUCUGAUUUUGUCAGCUCAAGAUGCGAUUUUGCAAAACACUACUUCAGCUAUGCUGUAAAAAUGCACUAUCUGUUUUGAUUGGUAAACCUUUUCAGUUUAAACUCAAAGAAAAACUAGUGAAAGCCAUAGUACCUUUAUUAUGUUAGGUUAUUUACGAAAUCAAAACCAUUUCUGAAAUUCACAUGUUUUACUCAAAAAGUUCCAUGAACUGUACAUUAUUUAUCAAAAAGAGGUUAUACAUUGUAUUGUAAUAUUUAGGGUAAUAUUAUAAUAAAAAAGAUGUCAGCAAAUGAUUCAGCCAUUAUGUACUCAACAAUCAAGGCAGGCUGCCAGUUAAAUACUACAUGAAGCAGUAAAGAAGCCUUCAGUCAUUAUCUCUUCAAGGUCAAGAUUUUAUGGCAUACAAUUCUACAUAUGUACUGACUAAACAUACACGUUUAGUGAAUACUAAUUCAUAAUGUCAGUAAGUAUGAAUCAAUCAACAUUUCUCAAUUUACCUGACAGUAAAACUACUGUUAGGUUCCUAAACAUCAAGUUAAUGUUGAUAACUAGCUGCUAUUUUUAAUCCUCCCAAGAUGAAUAGAUGAAAACAACUGAAUUUAACAACUGAA
This is an RNA transcript of Xenia sp. Carnegie-2017, 2023 nucleotides long. It is a transcript of the gene named recQ-mediated genome instability protein 1-like, with no coding region annotated. The record is from RefSeq and is a predicted model, not a curated record. The transcript has 7 exons. NCBI's taxonomy places the organism in Eukaryota, Metazoa, Cnidaria, Anthozoa, Malacalcyonacea, Xeniidae.